Molecule: small RNA, 219 nt
Filed under: Arabidopsis thaliana (thale cress)
Lineage: Eukaryota; Viridiplantae; Streptophyta; Magnoliopsida; Brassicales; Brassicaceae
Description: ATSL039380
Source: RNAcentral
CCAAAAUGCUAACCCAGAUUCUUCUUGCUCUUCAAAGCUUUGAUGGUGUAACCUAAGUCCGUAUGAUUUUUGGUUUUGGAUCUUCUAAUAGGGAAAGAUAAAUUUAGGUUCAUAGCCCUGGUUGUGGUUUUAGCCCUAAAACUCAAUCAUCCACCUAUCAUCUUGAGAUAUUUGAUUCCAAAACGCUUACAAAGAUUGUGCUUACUUUUUAAAGUAUAU